UGGGGAAUUUUGGACAAUGGGGGCAACCCUGAUCCAGCCAUUCCGCGUGAGUGAAGAAGGCCUUCGGGUUGUAAAGCUCUUUCAGCUGGAACGAAACGGUGCGCUCUAACAUAGCGUGCUAAUGACGGUACCAGCAGAAGAAGCACCGGCUAACUACGUGCCAGCAGCUGCGGUAAUACGUAGGGUGCGAGCGUUAAUCGGAAUUACUGGGCGUAAAGCGUGCGCAGGCGGAUUGUUAAGCAAGACGUGAAAUCCCCGGGCUUAACCUGGGAAUGGCGUUUUGAACUGGCAGUCUAGAGUGCGUCAGAGGGGGGUGGAAUUCCACGUGUAGCAGUGAAAUGCGUAGAGAUGUGGAGGAACACCGAUGGCGAAGGCAGCCCCCUGGGAUGACACUGACGCUCAUGUACGAAAGCGUGGGUAGCAAACAGG
This 429-nucleotide ribosomal RNA is filed under the name bacterium. Its description in RNAcentral is "partial 16S ribosomal RNA". It matches the Rfam family "Bacterial small subunit ribosomal RNA", at positions 355 to 776 of the family's 1533-position model. The record is from RNAcentral.